CGGAGGGAGUUGAGACUCGUGCAGCGGAGGCGAAACGACCCCGAAGGCCGUUUUAACGACGGAGCACUAGUCCCUGAAACUGUAGAGGCCAUUUAUUAUUGAGUAAUUGACUAAUUAUGUAGUAAUCAGUAGGAUAACGACGAUGACGACAACGCCAACGGCGGUGACGAAGAGGAUGCAGAGAACAAAAUGUACAAGAGAAGUUUGGUAUGGUGGGAUGAUCAACAAGUGGUGGUAUUAUUAUAGAGGGCUGGUGCGCGUGUGGCCGGCGUUUUGGUAUUAUUUUAUUACUUAUUUGGAUGUGUUUUUAAAAUGACUAAAAGCGUUUUUUGUGAAAAUGUUUUUGAAAUCAAUCCUUAGUAAAAAUGCAAAUAAAUUUUGAAAAGCAUUUAAAGUGCUUCUUGAAAGAAGCACAUAACUAGUGCUUUUGAAAUCAAAAAAUAUUUUAUUUAAAAGCUCUUUUAAUUAUUUUAAAAACACAUACAAACGAGUCAUUAAUUUAUGUGUUUGUUUAGACUUUUGUACUAUUACAUGAUGCAUUUUCGGUUGCCAGUGACUAUUUCUGGGUACAACUUCCAGAUGUUUGCCAUUGCUUUUACAUGGUAGAACAAGCAACUGCGUAACAAAUUUUCCAGCUACAAGUCGGUCGUCGUUGACCCAAGACAAGAAAAGUCCGUGGUCGACAACCAAUAAAAUUUAAAAGUAAAAAGAAAAAAGAGAGAUUAGAAAAUGACCUGAGAUUGGACUUUUUCCGUGUGGGUAAAGGGAUUAAAAUUUUUAAAUUAAAUGAUAUGAUUGUUAAUAAUAAGAUUAUUAUUUUAAUAUUGAUUAACGUGUUUAUUUUCUAUUAAUGAUACAUUUUUUGUUUUGCAAAUUUGGUUGAUCUCUUUAGUAUUAUCCAAUUUGUCUAAUUAUAAGUAGACCAACAUGGAUUGGUGAACCCUAUCUCUAUUAGGCAUAUGGUAUAACAUGAUAUAAAAAUACGUUAAGUGUAAUAUUACUCUUCCUUAUGUUGCACAAUGAUCUAAAUUGUUUACUUUCUAAUUUAUUCUUUAAAAAAUAAGCAAAUAAAAAACGUUUAACUGUUGAACUAAAAUUGUUAACAUGAUUUGUCUGUUUUAUUUUACUGAAUAACCAUAAAAGACUAAAUAAUUUUAAAUUUCUUUGAAUUGUAAAAAAUUGAUCUUAGAGCAAGUCCACCCGGGGUGGGAUAGGCCGGCACCCAGUGGAAAAAACAGGCUGAGACUCAGCCAAUCCACUCCAGCUCGUGGAAUCGACUGGCACCCAGCCCAAGCCAGUCCACAGGCCGGCCUAAAAUCGACAGACCUUGGGACCGGCUCAAGUGACGCCUAGUUGACACCAGCGUGGUGUCGGAGGGCAAGGAGCCACGGAGCCAUCAACAUCGCGAAGCUCGCCUCACUCUCAAAACCCCCCUCUUGUCCACCGGCGGCGGCUACUUCACCACCGCGAGCGACUUCUGCCCGCUUCCCGCUUCCCGUCCCGUGAGCUCCUUCAAAUCUGCAUGUGCAUUUCCUCCAAAUCUGACUGCCUCCCGCAAUUCAACCACCUAAGAUUGGAACUUUUGAGCUUUUCUGGGAAAGUGGAUUCUGGGAUUGGAGUUUUGGGGUUGGAGCAGUGAUUCUGAGGGUCGGGUUUUUUUUGUGUGGAAGGGAUGGGAAGUUGCA
RNAcentral lists this long non-coding RNA (1685 nucleotides) under Malus domestica (apple). RNAcentral's name for it is "long non-coding RNA (MDOM_LNC004086)". The record is from RNAcentral. Lineage: Eukaryota; Viridiplantae; Streptophyta; Magnoliopsida; Rosales; Rosaceae.